AACAAGGAUUCCCUUAGUAACGGCGAGUGAACCGGGAAAAGCUCAAAUUUGAAAUCUGGCUGUCUUCGAUAGUCCGAGUUGUAAUCUAUAGAAGUGUUUUCCGUGCUGAACUGUGUCUAAGUCCCUUGGAACAGGGUAUCAAAGAGGGUGACAAUCCCGUACUUGACACAAUCAUCAGUGCUCUGUGAUACACUUUCUACGAGUCGAGUUGUUUGGGAAUGCAGCUCAAAAUGGGUGGUAAAUUCCAUCUAAAGCUAAAUAUUGGCGAGAGACCGAUAGCGAACAAGUACCGUGAGGGAAAGAUGAAAAGCACUUUGGAAAGAGAGUUAAACAGUACGUGAAAUUGUUGAAAGGGAAACGAUUGAAGUCAGUCGUGUUCAUUGGAUUCAGCUAGUUCUUCUAGUCUACUUCCUUUGAACGGGUCAACAUCAGUUUUGUCCGGUGGAUAAAGGCAGUAGGAAUGUGGCUUCUUCGGAAGUGUUAUAGCCUAUUGUCACAUACACUGGAGGAGACUGAGGACUGCAGCUCGCCUUUUGGCCGGGGUUCGCCCACGUUCGAGCUUAGGAUGUUGACAUAAUGGCUUUAAACG
Molecule: ribosomal RNA, 589 nt
Filed under: Trichosporon sp.
Lineage: Eukaryota; Fungi; Basidiomycota; Tremellomycetes; Trichosporonales; Trichosporonaceae
Description: LSU rRNA
Rfam family: Eukaryotic large subunit ribosomal RNA
Source: RNAcentral